Molecule: unclassified non-coding RNA, 336 nt
Filed under: soil metagenome
Description: partial contains 5.8S ribosomal RNA, internal transcribed spacer 2, and large subunit ribosomal RNA
Rfam family: 5.8S ribosomal RNA (bases 1-120)
Source: RNAcentral
GAUGAAGAACGUAGCGAAAUGCGAUAAGUAAUGUGAAUUGCAGAAUUCAGUGAAUCAUCGAAUCUUUGAACGCACAUUGCGCCCGCCAGUAUUCUGGCGGGCAUGCCUGUUCGAGCGUCAUUUCAACCAUCAAGCCCCCGGCUUGUGUUGGGGACCUGCGGCUGCCGCAGGCCCUGAAAAGCAGUGGCGGGCUCGCUGUCACACCGAGCGUAGUAGCAUACAUCUCGCUCUGGGCGUGCUGCGGGUUCCGGCCGUUAUACCACCUUCAUAACCCAAGGUUGACCUCGGAUCAGGUAGGAAGACCCGCUGAACUUAAGCAUAUCAAUAAGCGGAGGA